RNAcentral lists this ribosomal RNA (498 nucleotides) under uncultured bacterium. RNAcentral describes it as "partial 16S ribosomal RNA". It matches the Rfam family "Bacterial small subunit ribosomal RNA", at positions 30 to 523 of the family's 1533-position model. The record is from RNAcentral.
AUUGAACGCUGGCGGCAUGCCUUACACAUGCAAGUCGAACGGUAACAGGUCUUCGGAUGCUGACGAGUGGCGAACGGGUGAGUAAUACAUCGGAACGUGCCCAGUAGUGGGGGAUAACUACUCGAAAGAGUGGCUAAUACCGCAUGAGAUCUACGGAUGAAAGCAGGGGAUCGCCAGACCUUGUGCUACUAGAGCGGCCGAUGGCAGAUUAGGUAGGUGGUGGGAUAAAAGCUUACCAAGCCGACGAUCUGUAGCUGGUCUGAGAGGACGAUCAGCCACACUGGGACUGAGACACGGCCCAGACUCCUACGGGAGGCAGCAGUGGGGAAUUUUGGACAAUGGGCGAAAGCCUGAUCCAGCAAUGCCGCGUGCAGGAUGAAGGCCUUCGGGUUGUAAACUGCUUUUGUACGGAACGAAAAGCCCCGGGUUAAUACCCUGGGGUCAUGACGGUACCGUAAGAAUAAGCACCGGCUAACUACGUGCCAGCAGCCGCCGUAA